Molecule: ribosomal RNA, 312 nt
Filed under: Triticum aestivum (bread wheat)
Lineage: Eukaryota; Viridiplantae; Streptophyta; Magnoliopsida; Poales; Poaceae
Description: partial small subunit ribosomal RNA
Source: RNAcentral
AUGGCGGCCAAGCAGGCUGCUGCGCUAGCGGCGACGGCGCUGGCGCUGGGUAUGUCGAGCGUCACCGACUUGGACUGUAGCCUCCUGUCGUCCCCAAUGGACCCCUUCUUCGACCCCAUCACCUCCUGCGACCGGCGCCGCGGCGUUGGCGGCAAGCUCAGCGGUGCCAGCUCGCCCCCAUCGGCCAAGCAGCAGCUGCAGCAGCAGUGCGGCGCCGACGCGAUUCUUGACAUGCUCGGCGCGAAGACGCCACUGCCGCCGAGGGACUGGCUGCUGCACUCCGUGCACAUGCUUCCGCCGCUGCUGCUGUAG